RNAcentral lists this ribosomal RNA (22 nucleotides) under Leptosphaeria sclerotioides. RNAcentral's name for it is "partial 18S ribosomal RNA". The record is from RNAcentral. Lineage: Eukaryota; Fungi; Ascomycota; Dothideomycetes; Pleosporales; Leptosphaeriaceae.
UGGUUUUUCAGCGGUGCUUUUG